CUUAGAGUUUGAUCAUGGCUCAGAUUGAACGCUGGCGGCAGGCUUAACACAUGCAAGUCGAGCGGUAACAGAGAGUAGCUUGCUACUCUGCUGACGAGCGGCGGACGGGUGAGUAAUGCCUAGGAAUCUGCCUAGUAGUGGGGGAUAACUUGCCGAAAGGUAAGCUAAUACCGCAUACGUCCUACGGGAGAAAGCAGGGGACCUUCGGGCCUUGCGCUAUUAGAUGAGCCUAGGUCGGAUUAGUUAGUUGGUGAGGUAAUGGCUCACCAAGACCGCGAUCCGUAACUGGUCUGAGAGGAUGAUCAGUCACACUGGAACUGAGACACGGUCCAGACUCCUACGGGAGGCAGCAGUGGGGAAUAUUGGACAAUGGGGGCAACCCUGAUCCAGCCAUGCCGCGUGUGUGAAGAAGGUCUUAGGAUUGUAAAGCACUUUAAGUUGGGAGGAAGAGCAGUUAACUAAUACUUGAUUGUUUUGACGUUACCGACAGAAUAAGCACCGGCUAACUUCGUGCCAGCAGCCGCGGUAAUACGAAGGGUGCAAGCGUUAAUCGGAAUUACUGGGCGUAAAGCGCGCGUAGGUGGUUCGUUAAGUUAGGAGUGAAAGCCCCGGGCUCAACCUGGGAAUUGCUUCUAAAACUGGCGGACUAGAGUAUGGUAGAGGGUGGUGGAAUUUCCUGUGUAGCGGUGAAAUGCGUAGAUAUAGGAAGGAACAUCAGUGGCGAAGGCGACCACCUGGACUGAUACUGACACUGAGGUGCGAAAGCAUGGGGAGCAAACAGGAUUAGAUACCCUGGUAGUCCAUGCCGUAAA
RNAcentral lists this ribosomal RNA (812 nucleotides) under uncultured bacterium. RNAcentral describes it as "bacterial SSU rRNA". It matches the Rfam family "Bacterial small subunit ribosomal RNA", at positions 1 to 806 of the family's 1533-position model. The record is from RNAcentral.